GUCGGACCGAGAUGACCCCCGCCGGUCCAAAGGGGGGGGGGAAACAGGGCUGAGAGAAGAGCUUGGGGUUGCACAGCUGCACACUGAGCGGGGGAUCGUCCGCUUCCCCCGUCCUGGGCCUCACUCCUCCGACCUCCGUCGGCCGUGUAGUGUACCCGCGGGCGACAGACCCGGGGUUCCUCUGCUGGCUCCAGAGGUAGGUAAGUCUCUUUUCGUGGCGUUAUGGCUGGCUGGCUGGCUGGCUAGAUUCAGGCUUAGUUGAGGCAUUGAGCUCGGAGCUCACACGAAGUGCGUCCAGCCGCCAUGAUGUCCAGGCCCCGCCCCCCCCAAGAAUGGUGACUUUAGUAGUGAGCCAGCCUUCAUCAUAAAUACUUUAUGGUGCAUAUCUGCAGAUGGCCAUCUGGUCAACCUUGCAGACAUUCUAUCAUUCUUACUCUUUAUUUUUUUACUUACUGUGUCUGGCUGGAAAUUCUACAGUCAGUUGUCUGCAUUUGGACCAUCUGUUUGUAGCUUCGUGGACAUGUUUUCUUAGUUAUUAGAUCCUCCAUGUUCAUGGACGGUCAUUUUAUUAAUAAAGAAAACAGAAUUUAUACCUUUUAAAUUCUCUGUGUUUGUUGGCUGUUCAUGAAGCCUCAUCUUUUAUUGUUUGGGUUUAGUGACUAUCUGUCAUAAAUUGAGAAUUUGGUGUAAUAUUAAAAUAUUUCCGAUCACUUGUGGCAUUUACUUAUGUUAAUUAAAGGAAAAUUCCAGGCAGCAUAACAACUUCAUUGGAACCACAAACAAAUGGUUUAACCCCAAAGUCUUGAAAAUGGCACGUUUUAGCUCUACUUGAAACAGAAAGCAUUGGUUCCUGUUUCAAAACUCAGGCUGCAGCAGAUGUUCGUGGGAAGAACUAAUGGGCGCCCAAUUCAAAACUUUGGGUUUAAACUGUUUAAUAGCUUAACCCCUUGAGGUAAGCAGGCACACAGGACCAUUCUCACACCAUAACAACAAAGUUAUGAUGAAUUUGUUAUUGUGCCGGUAUGCCCCUUUAAAUAUAACUUCCUUAAAAGGCAGUAAGUUACAGUAAGUCUUGCUACGUUUCCAG
Non-coding RNA from Pelobates cultripes (western spadefoot toad), 1087 nucleotides. Lineage: Eukaryota; Metazoa; Chordata; Amphibia; Anura; Pelobatidae. The record is from the annotation of a GenBank genome assembly.